Oncorhynchus masou masou (cherry salmon) is the source of this 791-nucleotide long non-coding RNA. RefSeq lists it as uncharacterized. NCBI's taxonomy places the organism in Eukaryota, Metazoa, Chordata, Actinopteri, Salmoniformes, Salmonidae. The transcript is spliced from 3 exons. The record is from RefSeq and is a predicted model, not a curated record.
AGGUGGAGGAGCUGAAAGGAGAGGUGGAGGAGCUGAAAGGAGAGGUGGAGGAGCUGCAGAACGGUGGUGAACCAGAGAGUGGAGAUGAGUCACAAAGACUGAACUGCACUUCCACACGCCCAGAAGUUACCUCUAGCCUUAUUACUUUGAUGUAGAAAGUUUGUUUGAAUUUAAAUUCAUCAACACUUCAUUUGCAUUUUCUUUACAUGACAUUUUAGCACUAGAUGGCAGAUGGACAGCCAGUGAGAGCCAGGUGGAGGAGCUGAAGACAGAGAACAGAGGGAAAGUAAGACAGCUACAUGUCAUUUGAUUACUUUCAUCAACAAAGACAUGGUUUGUUGAAGUCAUCAACAGUUUAUUUGUAUUGUUACAUGAUAUCCUAGGACUUAGGACCAGAGUGACAGUCAGUGGAGCUGAAGACAGAGAACAGAGGGGCAGUCAGUGGAGGAGCUGAAGACAGAGAUUGCAUUUUUGGGGGGUAGAGUGACAGCCACAGAGAGAGGUGGAGGAACUGAAAACAGUCAAUUCAGGUUUCUUUACAGCACCAGUGAGAGGACUCUACUUCUACAGAUUCACAAGCCAUGGUGACAGCUCAUCAUCUUACGUGGGUGCAGCCUUGUACAAGAAUGACCAGAUAAUAAUUUAGGUGCUUCAGUAUAACUAUGGAUGGGAUCAGGAUGUAUCCAGUGCUGUAACUCUAGAGCUGGAGGAGGUGGAUUUGGUCUACCGCGCCUCUACUCACAGAUUACAUGAUGACUCAAAAAAACACAACAUCUUCAGUGGUCUUCCCU